UAUAGCUGGUUUAUGUGUAUAGCUGGUCUAUGUAUAGCUGGUCUAUGUAUAGCUGGUCUAUGUAUAGCUGGUCUAUGUAUAGCUGGUCUAGGUAUAGCUGGUUUAUGUAUAGCUGGUCUAUGUAUAGCUGGUUUAUGUAUAGCUGGUUUAUGUAUAGCUGGUCUAUGUAUAGCUGGUCUAUGUAUAGCUGGUCUAUGUAUAGCUGGUCUAGGUAUAGCGGGGUUAUGUAUAGCUGGUCUAUGUAUAGCUGGUCUAUGUAUAGCUGGUUUAUGUAUAGCUGGUCUAUGUAUAGCUGGUCUAGGUAUA
This is a long non-coding RNA of Ictalurus punctatus (channel catfish), 306 nucleotides long. The record is from Ensembl. NCBI's taxonomy places the organism in Eukaryota, Metazoa, Chordata, Actinopteri, Siluriformes, Ictaluridae.